AGUGAACGCUGGCGGUAGGCCUAACACAUGCAAGUCGAACGGCAGCACAGUAAGAGCUUGCUCUUACGGGUGGCGAGUGGCGGACGGGUGAGGAAUACAUCGGAAUCUACUUUUUCGUGGGGGAUAACGUAGGGAAACUUACGCUAAUACCGCAUACGACCUACGGGUGAAAGCAGGGGAUCUUCGGACCUUGCGCGAUUGAAUGAGCCGAUGUCGGAUUAGCUAGUUGGCGGGGUAAAGGCCCACCAAGGCGACGAUCCGUAGCUGGUCUGAGAGGAUGAUCAGCCACACUGGAACUGAGACACGGUCCAGACUCCUACGGGAGGCAGCAGUGGGGAAUAUUGGACAAUGGGCGCAAGCCUGAUCCAGCCAUGCCGCGUGGGUGAAGAAGGCCUUCGGGUUGUAAAGCCCUUUUGUUGGGAAAGAAAAGCAGCAGGUUAAUACCCCGCUGUUCUGACGGUACCCGAAGAAUAAGCACCGGCUAACUUCGUG
Molecule: ribosomal RNA, 492 nt
Filed under: uncultured bacterium
Lineage: Bacteria
Description: partial 16S ribosomal RNA
Rfam family: Bacterial small subunit ribosomal RNA
Source: RNAcentral